UCCGAUUUGUCACCGGCAGUCUCCCAUGAGUCCCCGACAUAACUCGCUGGCAACAUGGGACAAGGGUUGCGCUCGUUGCGGGACUUAACCCAACAUCUCACGACACGAGCUGACGACAGCCAUGCAGCACCUGUGUUCAGGUUCUCUUUCGAGCACAUCACCAUCUCUGGCGACUUCCUGACAUGUCAAGGGUAGGUAAGGUUUUUCGCGUUGCAUCGAAUUAAUCCACAUCAUCCACCGCUUGUGCGGGUCCCCGUCAAUUCCUUUGAGUUUUAAUCUUGCGACUGUACUCCCCAGGCGGUCUACUUCACGCGUUAGCUGCGUUACCAAGUUAAUUAAAACCCGACAACUAGUAGACAUCGUUUAGGGCGUGGACUAC
RNAcentral lists this unclassified non-coding RNA (379 nucleotides) under uncultured Gammaproteobacteria bacterium. RNAcentral's name for it is "contains 16S-23S intergenic spacer region". Lineage: Bacteria; Pseudomonadati; Pseudomonadota; Gammaproteobacteria. The record is from RNAcentral.